RNAcentral lists this ribosomal RNA (810 nucleotides) under uncultured bacterium. Its description in RNAcentral is "bacterial SSU rRNA". It matches the Rfam family "Bacterial small subunit ribosomal RNA", at positions 94 to 881 of the family's 1533-position model. The record is from RNAcentral.
AGUGGCGGACGGGUGAGUAACGCGUGGGUAACCUGCCCUUUUGUGGGGAACAACUUCGAGAAAUCGGAGCUAAUACCGCAUAAUAAUAGAGGAUCGCAUGAUUCUUUAAGGAAAGAUGGCCUCUGAAGAUGCUAUCGCAAAAGGAUGGACCCGCGUCUGAUUAGCUAGUUGGAAGGGUAACGGCCUACCAAGGCAACGAUCAGUAGCCGGCCUGAGAGGGUGAACGGCCACAUUGGGACUGUGACACGGCCCAAACUCCUACGGGAGGCAGCAGUGGGGAAUCUUCCGCAAUGGGCGAAAGCCUGACGGAGCAAUGCCGCGUGAGUGAAGAAGGCCUUCGGGUUGUAAAACUCUGUCCUUAUCGAAGAGAGGUAGGUAUGUGAAUAAUGUACCUAUAGGACGGUAGAUAAGGAGGAAGCCCCGGCUAACUACGUGCCAGCAGCCGCGGUAAUACGUAGGGGGCGAGCGUUGUCCGGAAUCACUGGGCGUAAAGGGCGCGUAGGCGGUUUAAUAAGUCAGUGGUGAAAACUGAGGGCUCAACCCUCAGCCUGCCACUGAUACUGUUAGACUUGAGUAUGGAAGAGGAGAAUGGAAUUCCUAGUGUAGCGGUGAAAUGCGUAGAUAUUAGGAGGAACACCAGUGGCGAAGGCGAUUCUCUGGGCCAAGACUGACGCUGAGGCGCGAAAGCGUGGGGAGCAAACAGGAUUAGAUACCCUGGUAGUCCACGCCGUAAACGAUGGAUACUAGGUGUUAGUAGUUUCGAUGCUACUAGUGCCGGAAGUAACACAAUAAGUAUCCCGCCUGGGGAGU